GACGUAGGGUGCGAGCGUUGUCCGGAUUUAUUGGGCGUAAAGAGCUCGUAGGCGGUCUGUCGCGUCUGCUGUGAAAACUCAGGGCUUAACCCUGAGCUUGCAGUGGGUACGGGCAGACUAGAGUGCGGUAGGGGAGACUGGAAUUCCUGGUGUAGCGGUGAAAUGCGCAGAUAUCAGGAGGAACACCGGUGGCGAAGGCGGCCCACUGGUCCGGUACUGACGCUGAGGUGCGAAAGCGUGGGGAGCAAACAGG
RNAcentral lists this ribosomal RNA (253 nucleotides) under uncultured bacterium. Its description in RNAcentral is "partial 16S ribosomal RNA". It matches the Rfam family "Bacterial small subunit ribosomal RNA", at positions 524 to 776 of the family's 1533-position model. The record is from RNAcentral.